GGGCGGAUAGCUCAGUUGGUUAGAGCGUCCCGCUUACACCGGGAAGGUCGUAGGUUCGAGUCCUAUUCCGCCCA
This 74-nucleotide transfer RNA is filed under the name Chloroflexota bacterium. RNAcentral describes it as "Chloroflexi bacterium tRNA-Val". It matches the Rfam family "tRNA". From Rfam's summary of the family: Transfer RNA (tRNA) molecules are approximately 80 nucleotides in length. Their secondary structure includes four short double-helical elements and three loops (D, anti-codon, and T loops). Lineage: Bacteria; Bacillati; Chloroflexota. The record is from RNAcentral.